This 469-nucleotide ribosomal RNA is filed under the name uncultured organism. RNAcentral describes it as "partial 16S ribosomal RNA". It matches the Rfam family "Bacterial small subunit ribosomal RNA", at positions 335 to 800 of the family's 1533-position model. The record is from RNAcentral.
ACUCCUGCGGGAGGCAGCAGUGAGGAAUAUUGGACAAUGGGUGGAAGCCUGAUCCAGCCAUCCCGCGUGCAGGAAGACGGCCCUAUGGGUUGUAAACUGCUUUUAUCUGGGGAUAAACCUACUUACGUGUAAGUAGCUGAAGGUACCAGAAGAAUAAGCACCGGCUAACUCCGUGCCAGCAGCCGCGGUAAUACGGAGGGUGCAAGUGUUAUCCGGAUUUAUUGGGUUUAAAGGGUCCGUAGGCGGACUGAUAAGUCAGUGGUGAAAUCCGACAGCUUAACUGUCGAACUGCCAUUGAUACUGUUAGUCUUGAGUAAGGUUGAAGUGGCUGGAAUAAGUAGUGUAGCGGUGAAAUGCAUAGAUAUUACUUAGAACACCAAUUGCGAAGGCAGGUCACUAAGUCUUAACUGACGCUGAUGGACGAAAGCGUGGGGAGCGAACAGGAUUAGAAACCCCAGUAGUCCCAUGA